This 450-nucleotide ribosomal RNA is filed under the name uncultured Glomus. RNAcentral's name for it is "SSU rRNA". It matches the Rfam family "Eukaryotic small subunit ribosomal RNA", at positions 569 to 1024 of the family's 1831-position model. The record is from RNAcentral. Lineage: Eukaryota; Fungi; Glomeromycota; Glomeromycetes; Glomerales; Glomeraceae.
AGCAGCCGCGGUAAUUCCAGCUCCAAUAGCGUAUAUUAAAGUUGUUGCAGUUAAAAAGCUCGUAGUUGAACUUCGGGAUCAAUGGAUUGGUCAUGCCGAUGGUGUGUACUGGUCAUAUUGGUUCUCACCUUCUAAGGAACCAUAAUGUCAUUUAUUUGAUGUUGUGGGGAAUUAGGACUGUUACCUUGAAAAAUUAGAGUGUUUAAAGCAGGCUAACGCUUGAAUACAUUAGCAUGGAAUAAUGAAAUAGGACAUCGCAUUCUAUUUUGUUGGUUUCUAGGAUCGAUGUAAUGAUUAAUAGGGAUAGUUGGGGGCAUUAGUAUUCAAUUGUCAGAGGUGAAAUUCUUGGAUUUAUUGAAGACUAACUACUGCGAAAGCAUUUGCCAAGGAUGUUUUCAUUAAUCAAGAACGAAAGUUAGGGGAUCGAAGACGAUCAGAUACCGUCGUAGU